RNAcentral lists this unclassified non-coding RNA (332 nucleotides) under soil metagenome. RNAcentral describes it as "partial contains 5.8S ribosomal RNA, internal transcribed spacer 2, and large subunit ribosomal RNA". The stretch from base 1 to 120 matches the Rfam family "5.8S ribosomal RNA", at positions 35 to 154 of the family's 154-position model. The record is from RNAcentral.
GAUGAAGAACGCAGCAAAAUGCGAUAAGUAAUGUGAAUUGCAGAAUUCAGUGAAUCAUCGAAUCUUCGAACGCACAUUGCGCCCGCCAGUAUUCUGGCGGGCAUGCCUGUUCGAGCGUCAUUUCAACCCUCAAGCACAGCUUGGUGUUGGGACUCGCGUUAAUUCGCGUUCCCCAAAUUGAUUGGCGGUCACGUCGAGCUUCCAUAGCGUAGUAGUAAAACCCUCGUUACUGGUAAUCGUCGCGGCCACGCCGUUAAACCCCAACUUCUGAAUGUUGACCUCGGAUCAGGUAGGAAUACCCGCUGAACUUAAGCAUAUCAAUAAGCGGAGGA